CCGCCGCCGCCCCCCCUCCCAGCAGCCUUUGCACGCGCUACAAUGAAAUUUGCAAAGUUUUUUCGAUUUCGGCGCCAUUUUCGAGUGGACUCGGAGGUCUGGCAAAUAAUAUCAAGAGACUUUUUUUUUCAAAAAGAGGGUGACUUGGCAUGGGUUCUGCACAUUAGCUGAACCUCAACGAUGGAGGAGGAAGACUUUGGACAGACAUUUUGGCUCCUGUUGCAACGAAAGGCAAAUCUUUCCCAGGAGUUCUCUUUGCAUUAUUGUUAUCCGUCACAGAAACCGUUGGUACCAGUUGCGCGUGUUGCUAUGGUUCUCUUGGCAUGUGCUAAUUUGCACCCAUUUGGGAGAACACCUGUAGACUGCAAAGCCCAUUGAUCGGGGAUUCUGUCCUUUGUUCAGCAGCCGUACAUGGAGGAACAUGUGUUAUAUUUACCCAAAGUUCUCUUUCAGAUGCCUCCAUUAAACAAAGUAAGACAUGGUGAUAUCCUUCAAAUCACUCAUUAAUACUUACAUAUUGUUACCAGAUGUGCUGGAUCAUUAUUUUAUUUCCUGAUAUAUUUUGGCAACUACAACAUCAUUUUAGAACUUUUAAGUUGCUGUAUCUAUGCUCUAGGACUAGGUUUUAUCUUCAUUAUUAUCUGCUGUCUCUUUCUUUUGUACUGCCUAUAGAAUUUUGUUUUGGGGGAGAUCUGAAAUGUAAUAAACGUAGUUAUUAUCAGUGCUCCUGUGCAUUCUAAAGAAUAAAAAUGAUAGCCUCGGUACAGUAUGUUCACUCUUGGAACAUACAUCUCUUAUGUUCCAAGAGUGAAGCCCUAUGCUAGUGUGGCUGAUAAUUCAAAGAAAUAGGGAAUUGUCUUGAGCAUGAUGACACAUGUAUUUUCAAAAGAUAGCUGUUUCUCCAGCGGAAUGAAGGCAAAAGACAAGACUCUGGUCUGAAACCCAGAAAAGCCAAUUUUCCUUGUAUGCCUAUGCCUGCAUUUAAAAUAAAACCUGGAUUAGUUCUAAUCCUGUUUAAAAAAUGCAACAAAAACUCCAAGCGGAACUAAAGAGCCUUUUUAGGCAUAGCCAAGAACUACAGGUAUUUUUGAAACAAGUGCAACACUAUCAUUUGGUCAGAAAUAAAUCUUGUCAUGGCGUAUUUCAAGUGAGCACAAGAUUACAACACAUGCCUUAGGAGCAGGGUCUUCUAUCUCACAUACUUCCUCUUAAUUUCUUGCCUCUGAGAUAAAUUUUAGACAAUAACCUUUUUAGAAGCAGGGACAACAUUUUUAUAUACUUCUAAGGAAUACACACACAUUGAUAGCACUAUAUAAAUGAAUAUUUACAACAGUACUAUUGAAGACUUGGUGGAAAAUAAGCUCUUUUGUCCUAGAAGCAAAAAUGCUGUUUGGGAGAAGCUACGUUCCAACACAAUUGCUGUGACCCCAGUCCAAGAAAGUAAAAAAGCAGAUUUACAUCUGCAGCAGGACUUGAUGAAGACAACAUGGCCGAAUACACAACAUGCUUUCUAAAGAUGCCUGUAGAAAAUUCCUUGCAAGCAAAAAAAAAAAAAAAUACAACAGGCAACGGACUGAAACAGGACCUCUCUUCUCAGUCCAACAGAAUGUACUUACAAAUUUUUAUACAUGGCUGCAAAUGAUCAAUAUUUUGAUUUUCAUUGCAUCUUUUCCUCUUUAAGUUAUGUACGUAGGAGUGUUCCCUCACUGCACCCUCAGCAACGAUUUGCUAGAAGUGAAUUGGAAGGGAAAUAGUGUUCUCUAUGGCCUUCAAAGCAGAGUCUACUGGAGACAGCGUCUGCACCGAUUUGGUCAGUCAUGGACACCAAAUGGCUAUUAAGCAGACUCAUAAGAGGACCCUUAUAAUUGUUAGGGUGGGUUGUGCCUUUCAUUCUGGCAGCUUUGGUCUACUCAGAAGGACACAAAAAGCAGAAUUACACCUUUUAUUGUGAAAGACUGUUUUUUGUUUUAAAGGCAAAAUAUCCUUGAUGAAAUUCUAAUAUUAUUUCAGGCAAAUAAUGGAAUCUGAUCCUUUCAACACUCUGCCCUUUUAUGUACUUUGCAAUGUGGAAAACUACUGCAGAUUGAAGUAAGACUGGAAACAGAAUUUCCUAUUGAAAUGGCAUGUACAACAUCAUCCUAUUUGUACAACAUCAUCCUAUUUUUAACUAAGUCCACAAGGCACAGUUUCCAUAGCUGUCAGCUUUUCUCAUGAAUAUCAGAUUUAAACAGGAAGUUAUAAUGAAGUUUCAUGGUCUUAACAUCCAGAAGAGCAAGAAAGUUCUAUCAUCUAGUCCCAAUUAGACGUUUUAAAUAAAUGGAAUAGAAAUGAGAACUCCCACUGGCUUUUUAAGUUAUGUUUAUCAAAGAACAAAGAAUAGAUUUCUGGGAAAUCAAUAAUCUUUAUACUAGAGAGAUCAGGUAUUCAUUCUCCAUAUACAAUUUCAGCACAUUACUUUUAUUAGUCUAAAAUUCAGAAAAAUGUGCAAGCUUUCUGGAUCAUUUCCCCAAAAUUAACCCCAACCAACAUACUUCGUUAAAUUUUUGAUAUACCGUAGUUACAGGACAUUUAAAGAACACAACACAACCCAUUCUUUUGAAAAACUGCACAGCCUGCUAAAAAAAUCUAUUUCAGUACAAGUGGCGCCUUUAAUUUUGAAAGUUACAUUACAAAAUAAAAAAAUUGGUCAAUGGAGUAAGAGCAAUUAACAGAUUCAUUUUUAUACACAACUUUCCUACUAAACUGCAUUCUUCCAGGAAGUUUUCAAACCCAAAUGGAUUGAUUUUCAACUUGAGAGCCUUAGAGGUUCUUAUACACAAUAGUGAGUCCCUCAAGACAAUGAAAUGCAUUUUUAAAAAAAGCAGACAAAAGAUUAAAAAUAAAAAAAUAAACAAGACUUCAUAAACAAAGAUAUCACAGAAAGUUUUUUUUUUUGCAGUGUCAACUGCUAGUGGAUGUUCUCAGCUUUUCAUCCAACUGUCAGCCUGUUCCAAUCUGCUGCCUUAAUCUGACAUUUUGAGAGAUAAGAAAAAUAUCUGAAGAGUAAAAUUGGCAGUUUGCUAACUAAUUUAACUUUGUUUUUAGAAUAGGUUCAACCAAAACACCUGAAGUAAUUACAAGAAAUACCAGGAUUCUAUGACGUUGAAACUGGGAUGUUAAGACUUAACAUAAUUUCAGCCAUCCUUGCAGGUUAACAGCACUCACUGAUCUGCCAGGAAACUUUGAUGAAAUAUCAAAACAUUCUCAUAUAGUGGUCACAAGACACAAAAUAAAUACUGACCUCUUACCUCAAAAACAAAAAGACAUGACUCGAUGUCUUAUUUUCAUUUUUCUUACAGCAUACAGUAUACGAUAUAUAUAUAUAUAUAUAUAUAUAUAUAUAUAUAUAUAUAUAUAUAUAUAUAUAUAUAUAUGGACAAAACUUGUGUUCUACACAGCACAGAGCACUUGAGGUAUGAUGCCCAAUUGAGGGGAUUAAAUUCCAAAGUGAGCAUUAUGCAGUAACUUGGAAAUCUAAGAGAAAUGGGCCAGCAUUGAACACUUCCAGAAGACAACACCUUUUUUUCAGUUAUUCCAGCCACAGGGUUCAAAUAAAAGGAGAGCGGAAGGAAAGAAUGAACCACUGCCUUUUGGCAUGACUCUCACAGCUUACAGUCAGCAGUGGCCAGAGCGAUCUCCGGGCAGUAGAAUCCUCCCAACAGAGCUACACCAAAGACUCAAAGGCAGGUGUCUUGAGCUAAGAAUCGUUUUUUGUACAUUGGCCAUUUUGCAAAAGGGAUUAGUUCAUUGCCUUCUGGUUUGCUUCUGUAAUUUGCAUGGGAAGAAAAAUGUAAAAUGCACACAUUCUGCAGCCGUGCUAUCAAAAUAGGCACAUCCAAGUUGUAAGUAAAAACUUUUGACAGUCGCUGUGAUCACAAAGCCACUGAACGUUUUCCAAAUCAGAAAUUUAAUUCCAGGUCCAGGAACAGGAUUUACUAUUUCAACAUCUGUCACAGCGUUGACAUUGUACAAAUUACACCUCACUGAUACCGUGUUUCUCUAUGUGUGUUUCUCCAGGCACUGCAGAUUACCUACAUAAUAUUGACAUGUGAAACAACUUCUGCUGAAGGCUCAUACACGUGAACGUUUCUGGCAGUUCAAGGACAUUUCUAACAGGCAGUAGAAAAAAAAGUUACUAAGCAUUAAAAAAGAUUAGUAGUUA
This is a long non-coding RNA of Crotalus tigris (Tiger rattlesnake), 4201 nucleotides long. RefSeq lists it as uncharacterized. Lineage: Eukaryota; Metazoa; Chordata; Lepidosauria; Squamata; Viperidae. The record is from RefSeq and is a predicted model, not a curated record. The transcript is spliced from 6 exons.